Pangasianodon gigas (Mekong giant catfish) is the source of this 72-nucleotide non-coding RNA. NCBI's taxonomy places the organism in Eukaryota, Metazoa, Chordata, Actinopteri, Siluriformes, Pangasiidae. The record is from the annotation of a GenBank genome assembly.
CAGAAAGAGAGACAGAAAGAGAGAGAGAGAAAUAAAGAAAGAAAGAGAGACAGACAGACAGAAAGAAAGAAA